UCAACCUGGUUGAUCCUGCCAGUAGCAUAUGCUUGUCUCAAAGACUAAGCCAUGCAUGUGUAAGUAUAAGUAUUAUAUACUGCGAAACUGCGAAUGGCUCAUUAAAUCAGCAAUAAUUUAUUUGGUGGUACCAGCAAUGGGACAUUUGGAUAACCGUGGUAAUUCUAGGGCUAAUACAUGCAAGAAGCCAGGGC
This 194-nucleotide ribosomal RNA is filed under the name uncultured eukaryote. RNAcentral's name for it is "partial 18S ribosomal RNA". It matches the Rfam family "Eukaryotic small subunit ribosomal RNA", at positions 1 to 187 of the family's 1831-position model. The record is from RNAcentral.